AUUGAACGCUGGCGGCAGGCUUAACACAUGCAAGUCGAACGGAGUGGCGGACGGGUGAGUAAUGCCUAGGAAUCUGCCUGGUAGUGGGGGAUAACGUCCGGAAACGGGCGCUAAUACCGCAUACUAUCAGAUGAGCCUAGGUCGGAUUAGCUAGUUGGUGGGGUAAAGGCCUACCAAGGCGACGAUCCGUAACUGGUCCGAGAGGAUGAUCAGUCACACUGGAACUGAGACACGGUCCAGACUCCUACGGGAGGCAGCAGUGGGGAGUAUUGGACAAUGGGCGAAGGCCUGAUGCAGCCAUGCCGCGUGUGUGAAGAAGGUCUUCGGGUUGUAAAGCACUUUAAGUUGGGAGGCGUUACCAACAGAAUAAGCACCGGCUAACUUCGUGCCAGCAGCCGCGGUAAUUC
This 407-nucleotide ribosomal RNA is filed under the name uncultured bacterium. Its description in RNAcentral is "partial 16S ribosomal RNA". It matches the Rfam family "Bacterial small subunit ribosomal RNA", at positions 30 to 526 of the family's 1533-position model. The record is from RNAcentral.